Long non-coding RNA from Musca domestica (house fly), 1414 nucleotides. RefSeq lists it as uncharacterized. The record is from RefSeq and is a predicted model, not a curated record. NCBI's taxonomy places the organism in Eukaryota, Metazoa, Arthropoda, Insecta, Diptera, Muscidae. The transcript has 4 exons.
UUGAAAGAUGCGUAGUAUACAUUAAAACGCCAAAGAAUCAACAUGAUACUCUUAAAGGUUUCUCAGAUUGUUUUUAUAUUUGUCAUCAUCUUGGCAUUGUGGUGCGAUCAAGCGACAGCAUUACCAAAGAAAAAACCGAAAACGAAAUCAAAACCAAAAUCGAGACCCAACGUCAAUGUUAAUACACACAUAAAUAUACAUAUUGGCUGAAAUGGGAAAUCGUUCAGAUAAGAGUACCACCCGACCGAUACUAUCGAUUUGCACACCGAAUUCUAGUCUAAAAUAAAUAUUACGAAUUUCAAAUUGGCAAUACAUAAGCUUCAUACGAGAUUAUUUUUAUUGAAUAUUUUGAAUUUGUUGGAUUUUCCAAGAGAAGUGGAGCGUUAUGACAUAUCUUCAAAAUUAAUCAAUUUAACACAAAACAAAAAAUCAAAUGUUUUAAAGAUCGAAAGAAAGAAACAUAAAAUUAGACAAGCGGUUGAGGGGCGGUGUCGCUUUAUUUGAUUCAAAAUUUUGAAAAUUUUCCAUAGUUGAUUUAAAAUUCUAAAAAAUUUCGUAUGCUUGGAACUUUGUUUUUUAUCAACAAUCGUUUGUUUUUUAAUUUAUUUGAUUUUUAUUUAGUUUAUUAUUAAGAAUGUUUAGAUAUAAGAGAAAAAUAUGAGCCGGCUUUUGACAUGGAAAGGAGUGCUUCCUCCUUCUUCAUGCCUUAAUACUUCCUACGUUGAUUUUUGAAUGUCCUUCCUUUUUUCCAUUUCAUAGGCCAGCCAACAUUUUUUUGUCGAACAAUAGCAUUUCUUUAACAGACCCAUAAUAUAUCGUACAAUUGGAAUAUCCAAUUCUAUGAAACAGUCAAUUCUAUGUUGGUACAAUCCACCAGAUGAGAUAAUAAAAUAUAUUUCUUGUGUUUUAUAAUUUGUUUUUUUUUUAAUACAAUGUUAUCAUUUAGUAAAUAUGUAUCAUUGAUCAUCAUAUGUAGCUAUGUAUGUAUGUUGUUCCUACAAUCCAUGAUUAACAGCUAAUCAAAACUUUCAGUAUAUAUUAAAACGCCAAAGAAUCAACAUGAAACUCUUAAAGGUUUCUCAAAUUGUUUUUAUUUUUGUUAUCAUCUUGACAUUGUGGUGCGAUCAAGCGACAGCAUUACCAAAGAAACCCCCGAGGCCGAGAGCGUGUCCGAGACCGAAAGCGUGUCCGAGACCGAGACCAAGACCAAGACCGGUACCGGGACCGAGACCCAACGUCAAUGUUCAGAAUCACAUACAUAUACAUAUUAGACAUGUUGGCUGAAAUGGGAAAUCGUUAAUGGAUAUUUACAUAAGAGCGAAAUAAUUAUAGAAUUGAAAAUAGUAAAUAUUUGAGAAAGGUUUUACAUAUCCUAAAAUAAUAAUAAAUCAAUAGUAAUCAAAAAUCAAUAAUU